AUGGACUUCUUCCAGAUGGGAAACGUGGAACCUAAGGAAAGUGUUGUAGGGCCCAGGAACCUUUUGGUGAGGGCAGAGGAGACAGGAUGGGAGAGUGGCAAUCUUGUCACACUUGUCACUGCAGUUCCUGGUAAGAGGCUGCUCAUCUGCCUAGUGGCAGCACUGCUUCUGGCAGCCACACUUCUGCUGGCAGCAGCCCUUCCCACCGCCACAGCCACAGGAGCGACGGCAACAGGUGCGGCGGUAGCAGCACACCACGGGGGAGCAGCAUCCACAGCAGUUGCCACAGCAGUUGCCACAGAUGCCAGUGCCGCAUGCAGAGGAUUAAACAAGUGAGCCAUGGCGCCAGCCCCUGUAACUCUGCCUUUCAGAUAAAUAAAAAACACUUAAAAAAUAGCA
RNAcentral lists this long non-coding RNA (399 nucleotides) under Oryctolagus cuniculus (rabbit). Its description in RNAcentral is "lncRNA (ENSOCUG00000035623.1)". The record is from RNAcentral. Lineage: Eukaryota; Metazoa; Chordata; Mammalia; Lagomorpha; Leporidae.